UGGGGAAUUUUGGACAAUGGGGGCAACCCUGAUCCAGCAAUGCCGCGUGUGUGAAGAAGGCCUUCGGGUUGUAAAGCACUUUUGUCCGGGAAGAAAUCGCACCUGAUAAUACCGGGUGUGGAUGACGGUACCGGAAGAAUAAGGACCGGCUAACUACGUGCCAGCAGCCGCGGUAAUACGUAGGGUCCAAGCGUUGAUCGGAAUUACUGGGCGUAAAGCGUGCGCAGGCGGUUGUGCAAGACCGAUGUGAAAUCCCCGGGCUUAACCUGGGAAUUGCAUUGGUGACUGGACGGAUAGAGUGUGUGAGAGGGGGGUAGAAUUCCACGUGGAGCAGUGAAAUGCGUAGAGAUGUGGAGGAAUACCGAUGGCGAAGGCAGCCCCCUGGGAUAACACUGACGCGCAUGCACGAAAGCGUGGGGAGCAAACAGG
RNAcentral lists this ribosomal RNA (429 nucleotides) under Bacillota bacterium. RNAcentral's name for it is "Firmicutes bacterium partial 16S ribosomal RNA". It matches the Rfam family "Bacterial small subunit ribosomal RNA", at positions 355 to 776 of the family's 1533-position model. Lineage: Bacteria; Bacillati; Bacillota. The record is from RNAcentral.